Non-coding RNA from Camelina sativa (false flax), 689 nucleotides. NCBI's taxonomy places the organism in Eukaryota, Viridiplantae, Streptophyta, Magnoliopsida, Brassicales, Brassicaceae. The record is from RefSeq and is a predicted model, not a curated record.
UUUUUUUUUUGCUUCUUCGCUCUCUCUCUCUCUCUCUCGCGACGAAGAGUUGCGAAAUUGAUUGAGGUUUUUCUCAAUGAUCUGUUGGAAGUGGAGUAGAUCGAUUCGGGUUUUGGUGACUUUUAUCUGUUCUCGGCCUUUAAGCUCAUCCUCCCCACCGAUGGCGGAUCUCAACGGCGAUUCUCUGUGAGUUAAUCGACAAGUUGGUUGGAUGAAAUCGGAGACCACCAAGUCGUAGCCUUUCCUUCACCAAUCUCUUUCUCAUGAACUGGGCAGUUCAUAGAAGUGGCUAUAUAUAUAUAUAUAUAUAUAUCUCGGUUUCUGCUUAUAGCUCAUCAUGGUGCUGGUGUUAGUUUAGGUGUCAAUAUGUCUAUCUAUCCUAUAUGGGCUGAAGGUUGUGUGAAUGGAUACCUCCGCUGUGUUGAAUACGAGAGAAUCCCAUCCAAAAUUUGGCCUUCUGAUCUCAUGAUUUUGUUAUAUGUGACAUUUAUAAUGUUAGGGUGGUCCAUUGGGUGGUUACGGUGUUCCUCCCCUUGAUUUGUUAUAUAUGUGACAGUACCAAGUAUAUUCAGAUCAAAAACGGUUGCCGGAGGGCGUUCUUAAAGUAACAACAACAUCAAACUAAUCGAUUAAAAGGUGUGUGUGCGUGUUCGUGUUCUAACUCUCAUUUGGAUAUUUUUGCUUUACUC